AGUGAACGCUGGCGGUAGGCCUAACACAUGCAAGUCGAACGGCAGCACAGUAAGAGCUUGCUCUUACGGGUGGCGAGUGGCGGACGGGUGAGGAAUACAUCGGAAUCUACUUUUUCGUGGGGGAUAACGUAGGGAAACUUACGCUAAUACCGCAUACGACCUACGGGUGAAAGCAGGGGAUCUUCGGACCUUGCGCGAUUGAAUGAGCCGAUGUCGGAUUAGCUAGUUGGCGGGGUAAAGGCCCACCAAGGCGACGAUCCGUAGCUGGUCUGAGAGGAUGAUCAGCCACACUGGAACUGGAACACGGUCCAGACUCCUACGGGAGGAAGCAGUGGGAAAUAUUGGACAAUGGGCGCAAGCCUGACCCAGCCAUACCGCGUGGGUGAAGAAGGCCUUCGGGUUGUAAAGCCCUUUUGUUGGGAAAGAAAAGCAGCAGGUUAAUACCCCGCUGUUCUGACGGUACCAAAAGAAUAAGCACCGGCUAACUUCGU
This 491-nucleotide ribosomal RNA is filed under the name uncultured bacterium. RNAcentral's name for it is "partial 16S ribosomal RNA". It matches the Rfam family "Bacterial small subunit ribosomal RNA", at positions 29 to 506 of the family's 1533-position model. The record is from RNAcentral.